UUCUUUUUCCUUGUUGAAAUCUCACGCCGAGUCCUCCUCGCGUGCCCUAGCCUUCCAACUCGCACCGAGCCACCAUUUCUGCCCAAAACCGCUCGGAGGCGGUUUCUUCUCCUCUUCCCCUCUCUUCUUCUCCUCUACCGAUCGUCGCUGUGCCCUAGCCGACUUCACUCUCCUCCGCGCCGAUCUUCCAUCGCCAGCCACUCGAGUAGUGCCGCCCACCCCGACCGCCGUGCCCUAAGUCCUUUUUGGAUCUGCGCGCCAACGCCGAUCACCGACCGUAGGAACUCCAGUCGCCUGUGCCCUAGCCGGUGCCACCACAGUCCUCUUCCUCAGCCUUAGCGUCACUUCUCGCGACGCCGUCCAAGGGAAGACAGAUUCAAGGACAGAGAGUUCGGUGCCUUGGUUGUUGGCCACAGGUUUUUGGUUCCAAUCUACUGUCGAAGGGUAAGACAGCAAUUAACCUUUGCUGGCAGCAACAAAACCUUGUGUGGAUCAACAAUCAAGGCUGUGAAUAGAGGACUUUGAUUCGAGACGGUAUCUCGACGGGUAUCUCGAUUAGCGUAUUGGACUAUUUCGAUUGGAGACGGGUACUUUGACUUAUGUCUUUUGAUAUGCAUAAUAAUGUGUUUAACAUAUAGCAAUAAUUGUGUGAUCCAUUUAUUUCGGUUGGUCACUACAUGAUCUGUUACA
Zingiber officinale is the source of this 690-nucleotide long non-coding RNA. RefSeq lists it as uncharacterized. The record is from RefSeq and is a predicted model, not a curated record. Lineage: Eukaryota; Viridiplantae; Streptophyta; Magnoliopsida; Zingiberales; Zingiberaceae. The transcript has 4 exons.